This 77-nucleotide transfer RNA is filed under the name Candidatus Bathyarchaeota archaeon. RNAcentral describes it as "tRNA-Val". It matches the Rfam family "tRNA". Rfam says of the family: Transfer RNA (tRNA) molecules are approximately 80 nucleotides in length. Their secondary structure includes four short double-helical elements and three loops (D, anti-codon, and T loops). The record is from RNAcentral. RNAcentral also lists the same sequence under 1 other name. Lineage: Archaea; Thermoproteati; Candidatus Bathyarchaeota.
GGGCCGGUCGUCUAGCAUGGUAGGACGUCGCCCUGACGCGGCGAAGGUCGCCGGUUCAAGUCCGGCCCGGCCCACCA